AAACAUCUUUGCCGGCGAAGCCAAAGUUUGAGCCUUUGAAGGCUCAUGAGAUGUCUGAUGGUCGAGUUCAAUUUAGGAAGGUUUCGGUUCCACCACAUAGGUAUUCACCUCUUAAAAAAGCGUGGAUGGAUAUUUACACUCCUAUAUAUGAGCAAAUGAAGAUUGAUAUCCGUAUGAACCUCAAGGGUAGAAAGGUUGAAUUAAAAACCAGAUCUGAUACACCAGAUGUUAGUAACCUGCAGAAAUGUGCAGAUUUUGUACAUGCCUUCAUGCUAGGCUUUGAUGUUAUAGAUGCUAUUGCACUACUGCGAUUGGAUGAACUAUAUGUGGACUCUUUCGAAAUCAAAGAUGUUAAAACCCUUAGAGGUG
This 369-nucleotide long non-coding RNA is filed under the name Jatropha curcas. RNAcentral's name for it is "long non-coding RNA (JCUR_LNC001510)". The record is from RNAcentral. Lineage: Eukaryota; Viridiplantae; Streptophyta; Magnoliopsida; Malpighiales; Euphorbiaceae.